GGGCACUUGGUCUAGGGGUAUGAUUUUCGCUUCGCAUUGACCAACGUGCGCCUGUGAAAGGUCGGGGGUUCGAAUCCCCCAGUGUCCA
Lineolata rhizophorae is the source of this 88-nucleotide non-coding RNA. Lineage: Eukaryota; Fungi; Ascomycota; Dothideomycetes; Lineolatales; Lineolataceae. The record is from the annotation of a GenBank genome assembly.